RNAcentral lists this ribosomal RNA (430 nucleotides) under Pseudomonadota bacterium. RNAcentral's name for it is "Proteobacteria bacterium partial 16S ribosomal RNA". It matches the Rfam family "Bacterial small subunit ribosomal RNA", at positions 355 to 776 of the family's 1533-position model. The record is from RNAcentral. Lineage: Bacteria; Pseudomonadati; Pseudomonadota.
UGGGGAAUAUUGGACAAUGGGCGAAAGCCUGAUCCAGCCAUGCCGCGUGUGUGAAGGAGGCCUUUUGGUUGUAAAGCACUUUAAGCGAGGAGGAGGCUACUAGUACUAAUACUACUGGAUAGUGGACGUUACUCGCAGAAUAAGCACCGGCUAACUCUGUGCCAGCAGCCGCGGUAAUACAGAGGGUGCGAGCGUUAAUCGGAUUUACUGGGCGUAAAGCGUGCGUAGGCGGCUGAUUAAGUCGGAUGUGAAAUCCCUGAGCUUAACUUAGGAAUUGCAUUCGAUACUGGUCAGCUAGAGUAUGGGAGAGGAUGGUAGAAUUCCAGGUGUAGCGGUGAAAUGCGUAGAGAUCUGGAGGAAUACCGAUGGCGAAGGCAGCCAUCUGGCCUAAUACUGACGCUGAGGUACGAAAGCAUGGGGAGCAAACAGG